GAUGAACGCUGGCGGCGUGCCUAAUACAUGCAAGUCGAGCGAACAGACGAGGAGCUUGCUCCUCUGACGUUAGCGGCGGACGGGUGAGUAACACGUGGAUAACCUACCUAUAAGACUGGGAUAACUUCGGGAAACCGGAGCUAAUACCGGAUAAUAUAUUGAACCGCAUGGUUCAAUAGUGAAAGACGGUUUUGCUGUCACUUAUAGAUGGAUCCGCGCCGCAUUAGCUAGUUGGUACGGUAACGGCUUACCAAGGCGACGAUGCGUAGCCGACCUGAGAGGGUGAUCGGCCACACUGGAACUGAGACACGGUCCAGACUCCUACGGGAGGCAGCAGUAGGGAAUCUUCCGCAAUGGGCGAAAGCCUGACGGAGCAACGCCGCGUGAGUGAUGAAGGUCUUCGGAUCGUAAAACUCUGUUAUUAGGGAAGAACAAAUGUGUAAGUAACAAUGCACGUCUUGACGGUACCUAAUCAGAAAGCCACGGCUAACUACGUG
RNAcentral lists this ribosomal RNA (497 nucleotides) under uncultured bacterium. RNAcentral describes it as "partial 16S ribosomal RNA". It matches the Rfam family "Bacterial small subunit ribosomal RNA", at positions 28 to 507 of the family's 1533-position model. The record is from RNAcentral.